RNAcentral lists this ribosomal RNA (301 nucleotides) under uncultured bacterium. RNAcentral's name for it is "partial 16S ribosomal RNA". It matches the Rfam family "Bacterial small subunit ribosomal RNA", at positions 509 to 807 of the family's 1533-position model. The record is from RNAcentral.
CAGUCGCCACGGGAAAACGGAGGGUGCAAGCGUUAUCCGGAUUUAUUGGGUUUAAAGGGUCCGUAGGCGGAUCUGUAAGUCAGUGGUGAAAUCUCACAGCUUAACUGUGAAACUGCCAUUGAUACUGCAGGUCUUGAGUAAAUUUGAAGUGGCUGGAAUAAGUAGUGUAGCGGUGAAAUGCAUAGAUAUUACUUAGAACACCAAUUGCGAAGGCAGGUCACUAAGAUUUAACUGACGCUGAUGGACGAAAGCGUGGGGAGCGAACAGGAUUAGAUACCCGGGUAGUCCCUGUCUCUUAUAC